Molecule: long non-coding RNA, 3276 nt
Filed under: Bemisia tabaci
Lineage: Eukaryota; Metazoa; Arthropoda; Insecta; Hemiptera; Aleyrodidae
Description: lncRNA ENSSSA1NGG001169
Source: RNAcentral
AAAAAUAUAUCGUCUUAGUGUUGAAACUUUAAAAAUGACGUAAGUAUGAUUGUGUGACAGAUCAGGUAGAAAAUCAAAUUAUAGAGGAAACUAUAUAUUACGAGGCUCUUUUGGUUGCUGGAAGUCACAAAGCUAAAAAUCUUCGAUCUAACUAAGAUGACAGUUAAGUCGAAGUAACCAAGAAUCUAGUGUAAUCAAUUUUAUUCUUGAUUUAAGCUUAAAUCUUCUUGGUGGCAUAUUAAAAAAUAGUUUUGCUAGAGUCAAGUCACUUUUUCCAGAGUACAUUCAUAGCAAGUUGCACCAUUGGUGUCAUCCAUUAAAGCCACGUAAUUAAGAAUAUGUUCCGCAGUUCUUAUUUUGCCCAUCACUAGACGUUUCAUUGCGUGUGUCCUGAGUAGGCACUCUAAUUCCGUGUGCACAACGUUACCGGCAGGAUUUUCAAAUCGCAUGAUUUUCCACCUUUAAAAAGGUACAUGCGAGCAGAUUUAGUAGCGAGUACUUUUCCUCAACUGUCACUAUCUUGCUCUCCAGGAAAAAAUUAAGCGUCACGCAAGUCAAUUCGCAUGCAAUGUCGAUGGUAAAAGCUCAAAAUUGCGUCUGAAUUUUUUUAAAGCCUUUUAGUGAGUCUCCAUGACGUGACCUUUUACCUUGAUUCGGCUUAAGAGAUUUCAGUUUUCAAAACGAACCUCAGUUGAGUCCCCGAGAUACUGAGUGGAUGCACUGCAGUCUGACUUUCAAGUUUUCAGACAUGGGUUUCAGGCAUAAACCACUUCUUCUCCUAUUUCUAGCCGCCAUAUUUCAGGUGCAGUUUUCUCCGUGUACCUCCGAUUCAACUCAAAAAGAUGUUCAGCUAGCCGAACCGGUGGCGAAUCAACUACCAACGCAGGAGGCUCCCGACAAAAAAUCAGAGAUUUCAGCAAAGAUAAAAGCAAAACUGGCAGAGAUGGAAUCCUUGAGGAAGGAGAAGGAAGAGCUUCAGAAAAAGCAGCAUGAGGAGAUCCGCGCCAAAGCAGACGAGCUGAAGACAGAGUUCCAGGCUGAAGAGAAACUACAGAAAGAGGAGAGAGUCAAGAUCAAUGAAAUCCAGAAAAAAGCUCUGGAGGGUUACAGAAAAAUUGAUCGUGAAAUUUUAGAGCUUAUCAGGGAAGUCAGACGUAACAGACGUGAUGCGGAAAAGAAGGCAGACCUGGAAAAACAGCUUGCGCAAAAGCGGGAGGAACGUACUGCGCUGGAAAAUGAGACUAAAAAAAGUAGGAUCGCUAUUAUGGAUCAGAGGAAAGUCCGAGUUGACGCUCUGCAAAAGAAAUCUGAUGAGAUGAUGGCCGAGAAAAGAAAGUUGGAAGAGGACACCCGCAAGGAAGUCCGUGAGAUUGAGGGAGAACUAAAAACCGUGCAGGAAGAGUUAACGCAACUGCGAAAAGAUUUGAGGAGAGCAAAUUGGGGAUUCUGAGGACAAUAGUUUUGAAUCACCUCGAGUUUCAAAAAACCAAAUAUCGGCUGUGAAACUACCAAACCACGUAUCUCGGUUUGCGAUGUUGUAGAAUUCCUGUCAUAAUUAAUUUUUUAAAUGGAGACCUACAGCGUCACUUCUUAGAAACUUCCGUGUUUUUUCCUUUUAAUGCGAAAAAAAACUCUAUGAACAUUUCAAGAAAUGAUAUUGAUUUAAUCUACCUCAAAAAAUAAAAAUAAAAUGAGAGCGGAGAUUCUUAAACACCGCAAACGAGAUACGUGGUCUGGUAGUUUCGUCAUCGAUAUGUUUUUGAUCCUGCGGAGGUCUAUAGAAACGGCUUUUGACUAUUUCAUUUUUUUCUCCUCUAAAAAUAUAAUCAUAGUGUUUUGUUCGUGAAGCAUUGUUGUACGUGGAGUUUCUAGAAUAGUGGAAUGUUAUUUCUGAUUUGCUCGAGUUUCAUAUUAUGUUAUGUUUUUUGUCUCAAAAGAGUUUUGAAAACUGACAUGCAACUAUUCUAGAAUUUUCCGUUCUAUUCUUUCUAUAAAAUAUGAAAAUAGUAUUUGCUCCUUGAGUAUUAUUCGAACAAGGUAAUUAAUCGCUUCAGCAACCGUUUCUCUGUAUUUAUAGAAAUAAGUUGCCUACAAACUGUGUUUGAUGCUUUUCUUUUUUAAAAUAUACCAAGCAAAAUCAAAUGUACUUGAAACCACAUUUGCUCUUUUUCUUAUUUUGUCAUGAGGUGAUAAAAAAUAUUUUUUUUCACGUCUUUGGUAAUGGAAUUAUCUAAUUUCUAUCUAAAAGUAUUGCUGCACUUUCUUUGUUAUUCUUCUUUCUUUUAGAAAAAAAAUUUAUGACAAAAAUUAAAAAGCAGAAAAGCAAUUAUUCCUUUAGGGAACAUACAUAUCUACGCAAUUAAGUAUUUUUUUAAAGUUUGUGUUUGAUGUUUUAAUGUCUCCAUGCUAUUUUGCAUUUGAAAUUGUCUAUAUAACCAUGCUAAAAAUUUUAAAAAGGAAGUAAUCCAUGGUCUGGAAAUUGCUGAAGGAUUCCAUAGUAUUGGCAAACUUUCAGAAAAUUCAUGAAUCGAAAAUUAAGAAACACAUAGAAUUUUGUUUUGAUUGUUUUAUUCGGACUAAAUUUUGAUUACAAAGAAUGUAAUUAUGUGGAUCCAAAGAGAGAUAUAGAAUUCAGGAGCACUUCAUUCUAUUAACCAGGAAUCUUUCCAUCUGCUGAAACACAAGAAAAUACGUUUAUUAGUAUUAAAAUUCGAACAGCUUUCAGAUCUACAAAAAUUGCUAGCACAAAGUGGGAAUGAAAUUUCAAGUAUCAAGUAUUGGAAUAAGCAAGUGUUCUGCUCGCCUUGGUAAUGCAAAAGGUAAUGGUGGUUCUAAUUCCGAUAAAUUCAAAUUAAAAAGCGAAACAAAUGUAUGCAAGAUUUGACAUUCAAGUGUAUUUUCAAAAUUUUUAGAUGCAUUUUUAGCAGAAGGAUUAAAUCAUUUGCAUGAAUCGAGAAUUAACGCUCUAUUAAAUUUUCAUGUUUUAAUAAAAUUUGAGAGUCACUUGCAACACGUAAUCACUUACUGAAUGUUAUACAAGCGACAAACCUUCCCUUUUUCCCACAGUUUCAAGAGAUACGUUAAAGUUUAAAUUUGCGAAGAAUAAGAAGAAAGAAAAAAACAAAAAAAGAAGUAGAAAAAACAAAGGUAAAGGAUCUCACCUUUUAUUACAGAUGGUCGGACUCAGGGAGAGGAACUUAUAGGGAGAUGAUGUCGAAGGAGGUCCUUUCCUUUCCGUUAAGGGCGAUGACGUCAAAGACAACACGUUCCUUUCCG